GAUGCAUAUGUGAAGUGACAUAAACUCAUCCCAUAUAAGAUGCAAUAUGGUUAUAAGCAAAGGUCUUGCUUUGGAAGGCAGAGAUUACAACAAUUCCUUUGUUUACCUUCUAGAGAGAGUAUGUUUUUUCUUCCUACACUUUACUGACUUAUUAAAAAUAUGCAUGUAAUACGAAUGCUGAUUACUGUGUUCCAGUUCCUGGGGACACAUCAAUGAACAAGUAAGACACAAAUUCCUGCCUGUCGGGAGCUUACAUUUUUGUCUGGGAAGAUAGGUGACAAGGAUUAAGAAGGUUGUAUAUUGCAUCAGAAGGUGCUAAGUGCGUGUGAAGUUGGUGAGGAGUAGAGAGGGGAGGAGGGAAGGGACCGGAAGUGUGGACACACUGUUUACAAUCUGGGACAUCUUCUUGAGAAGAUAAAAUUGAGCAAAGCAUUGAAAGAGGCAAGGAGUGGACCAAAGGGACAGUUGGGAGGAGAGCUCUUGGGGACACCAAGGAGGCUUUGUCACCUGGAGGAUAGGGCAGGGAGCAGAAAAUAAGGUCCCAGAACUAAGGGGUGAGGUUAAUUAAGUACAGAUAUCUCUGGGCUGUACAAAAGAAGGUGAAUGAAACCAAAUUCCCCUUGGAGACUUUUGGGUAGAAAAGUGACACAAUCUGAUGCAAUUUUAAAAGAGUAAAUUAAAAAGGUUAAUUACAGCAUUAUUUUCUUGGGCAAAGGUUGGAAGCUACCUAGACACCCAUCAGUGGGUGCUGGUUAAAUAAACACAGCUAUUGGAAAGAAGGUGGGAGAUGUAUGGGUAUGCUGCAUCCCCUGGACUGAAUCUGUGUCUCCCCAGAUUUGAGUGUUGCAGCCUAGUCCUCACUUGGCGUGAUGGUAUUUGGGGUGAGGGCUUUCGGAGGUAAUUAAGCUCUGGGAAUUUUUUCCCCUGACUCACACACAAAGAUUCUGCAAGCAAGUGUCCCUCUGUGAACCUGGAAGAAGAUGCGUGUCUACAGCCUGGUCAUGCUGCAUCCUGACCUCAGACUUCUGGCUUCCAGAACUGCCCUGAGCUAACCAGUGCCGUGUGUGUUCUCAUACCUUCCUCUGCGCUCAGACAUGAGUGUGAAGCAUGUAUAAAUCCAACUUCAUUUUCUUUUUAAAGCCAAGAAAGCGAACGAAAAAGAGAUCAUAUUAUAUUCCUCAAUCUGCAGCUUGGCUUCCCCUCACGCCUAACACAGCACCCGAGUCAUUCUCCAGGCCACGCCAAUACAUCUAACAUCUGUUAUUAUUUUUUUCAGUAGCAAAAUCAUCCAUUAAAUAAUGUGUCAUAGUUAACAACCCAUCACUUGGAGCGCUGUGAAGUUGUUUCUAGCAUCUUUGUGCGCAUGCAUAUGGAUGGCUGUCACUUCUGAUGGUGCUGUAAAUAACAUCUUCAUUCAUAACAAUAAACGUCUACGCUGCUU
Long non-coding RNA from Cavia porcellus (domestic guinea pig), 1441 nucleotides. RefSeq lists it as uncharacterized. The transcript is spliced from 2 exons. NCBI's taxonomy places the organism in Eukaryota, Metazoa, Chordata, Mammalia, Rodentia, Caviidae. The record is from RefSeq and is a predicted model, not a curated record.